Molecule: microRNA precursor, 69 nt
Filed under: Bactrocera dorsalis (oriental fruit fly)
Lineage: Eukaryota; Metazoa; Arthropoda; Insecta; Diptera; Tephritidae
Description: microRNA bdo-mir-1000 precursor
Rfam family: mir-1000 microRNA precursor family
Source: miRBase by way of RNAcentral
AUAUUGUCCUGUCACAGCAGUACUGUUCUUCUCGAUAUGAUAGCCUACUGCUGGGCCGGGGCAUUAACA